GGCACGUUCCCAUUUUAGUAAGACUUCAACAGCUGAAGUGAACACCGACAGCUAACUUCUUACCUGCUGCAAUAACCUCAAAUUACUUUUCUGUGGGGAACAUUGUAAUGCUUGCAGGCUUCUGGAUGCUGUUAUGAGACAUCCCCGCAAGAAACUAAGGGUUAUCCAUUCUGCCAGAUGAAGGGGAUUUUUGGCAACCAGCUUUGCUGAAGUAAAUUUGAUCGACGUGGUGCUCUUGGCUACGCGUGAGGUGGAGAAAUAUCAGCGGUGUCGUAUACUGAACCCUACCAAGGAUGCAGCUCCACUGCCUGUGCCCCAUCGGACCUGUCCUCGUCCCCUUUUCCUGCUGCUCCAAAGUUUAACAUAAAUCUUUAUGAGAGUUUGCAAAUAGCGAAAUAACCUUUGGCGUGAG
RNAcentral lists this long non-coding RNA (412 nucleotides) under Athene cunicularia (burrowing owl). RNAcentral describes it as "lncRNA (ENSACUG00000011741.1)". The record is from RNAcentral. Lineage: Eukaryota; Metazoa; Chordata; Aves; Strigiformes; Strigidae.